RNAcentral lists this ribosomal RNA (887 nucleotides) under uncultured marine group I thaumarchaeote. Its description in RNAcentral is "SSU rRNA". It matches the Rfam family "Archaeal small subunit ribosomal RNA", at positions 5 to 901 of the family's 1478-position model. Lineage: Archaea; Thermoproteati; Nitrososphaerota. The record is from RNAcentral.
CGGUUCAUCCCGCCGGGACUGACUGCUAUCGGAUUGAUACUAAGCCAUGCGAGUCUUUGCAGUAAUGCAAGGCAGACGGCUCAGUAACACGUAGUCAACCUACCCUAUGGACGAGAAUAAUCUCGGGAAACUGAGCAUAAUUCUUGAUAGAUCAUAAUGCCUGGAAUGGUUUAUGGUUAAAAUGAUUCGUCGCCAUAGGAUGGGACUGCGGCCUAUCAGCUUGUUGGUGAGGUAAUGGCCCACCAAGGCGAUUACAGGUACGGGCUCUGAGAGGAGAAGCCCGGAGAUGGGUACUGAGACACGGACCCAGGCCCUAUGGGGCGCAGCAGGCGAGAAAACUUUGCAAUGUGCGAAAGCACGACAAGGUUAAUCCGAGUGAUUUCUGCUAAAGAAAUCUUUUGCCAGUCAUAAAACCACAGGUGAAUAAGGGGUGGGCAAGUUCUGGUGUCAGCCGCCGCGGUAAAACCAGCACCUCAAGUGGUCAGGAUGAUUAUUGGGCCUAAAGCAUCCGUAGCCGGCUUUGUAAGUUUUCGGUUAAAUCCAUGUGCUCAACACAUGGGCUGCCGAAAAUACUGCAUGGCUAGGGAGUGGGAGAGGUAGACGGUACUCAGUAGGAAGGGGUAAAAUCCUUUGAUCUAUUGAUGACCACCUGUGGCGAAGGCGGUCUACCAGAACACGUUCGACGGUGAGGGAUGAAAGCUGGGGGAGCAAACCGGAUUAGAUACCCGGGUAGUCCCAGCUGUAAACGAUGCAGACUCGAUGAUGCAUUGGCAUAAUAGCCAGUGCAGUGUCGCAGGGAAGCCGUUAAGUCUGCCGCCUGGGAAGUACGUACGCAAGUAUGAAACUUAAAGGAUUGGCGGGGAGCACACAAGGGGUGAAGCUGCGGU